UCCCAGACUCCUACGGGAGGCAGCAGUCGGGAAUAUUGCGCAAUGGAGGAAACUCUGACGCAGUGACGCCGCGUGCAGGAAGAAGGUUUUCGGAUUGUAAACUGCUUUAGACAGGGAAGAAACAAGACAGUACCUGUAGAAUAAGCUCCGGCUAACUACGUGCCAGCAGCCGCGGUAAUACGUAGGGAGCAAGCGUUAUCCGGAUUUAUUGGGUUUAAAGGGUGCGCAGGCGGAUUUUUAAGUCAGCGGUCAAAUCGUGGGGCUCAACCCCAGCCAGCCGUUGAAACUGGGGAUCUAGAGUGUGCGAGAGGUAUGCGGAAUGCGUGGUGUAGCGGUGAAAUGCAUAGAUAUCACGCAGAACCCCGAUUGCGAAGGCAGCAUACCGGUGCACAACUGACGCUCAGGCACGAAAGCGUGGGUAUCGAACAGGAUUAGAUACCCGGGUAA
Molecule: ribosomal RNA, 447 nt
Filed under: uncultured bacterium
Lineage: Bacteria
Description: bacterial SSU rRNA
Rfam family: Bacterial small subunit ribosomal RNA
Source: RNAcentral